Molecule: ribosomal RNA, 492 nt
Filed under: uncultured bacterium
Lineage: Bacteria
Description: partial 16S ribosomal RNA
Rfam family: Bacterial small subunit ribosomal RNA
Source: RNAcentral
AGUGAACGCUGGCGGUAGGCCUAACACAUGCAAGUCGAACGGCAGCACAGUAAGAGCUUGCUCUUACGGGUGGCGAGUGGCGGACGGGUGAGGAAUACAUCGGAAUCUACUUUUUCGUGGGGGAUAACGUAGGGAAACUUACGCUAAUACAGCAUACGACCUACGGGUGAAAGCAGGGGAUCUUCGGACCUUGCGCGAUUGAAUGAGCCGAUGUCGGAUUAGCUAGUUGGCGGGGUAAAGGCCCACCAAGGCGACGAUCCGUAGCUGGUCUGAGAGGAUGGUCGGCCACACUGGAACUGAGACACGGUCCAGACUCCUACGGGAGGCAGCAGUGGGGAAUAUUGGACAAUGGGCGCAAGCCUGAUCCAGCCAUACCGCGUGGGUGAAGACGGCCUUCGGGUUGUAAAGCCCUUUUGUUGGGAAAGAAAAGCAGCAGGUUAAUACCCCGCUGUUCUGACGGUACCCAAAGAAUAAGCACCGGCUAACUUCGUG